This 445-nucleotide ribosomal RNA is filed under the name uncultured bacterium. Its description in RNAcentral is "partial 16S ribosomal RNA". It matches the Rfam family "Bacterial small subunit ribosomal RNA", at positions 30 to 523 of the family's 1533-position model. The record is from RNAcentral.
CGAACGCUGGCGGCAGGCCUAAUACAUGCAAGUCGAACGGCUCUUCGGAGCAGUGGCGGACGGGUGAGUAACGCGUGGGAAUGUGCCCUUAGGUACGGAACAACACAGGGAAACUUGUGCUAAUACCGUAUGUGCCCUUCGGGGGAAAGAUUUAUCGCCUUUGGAGCAGCCCGCGUUGGAUUAGGUAGUUGGUGAGGUAAAGGCUCACCAAGCCGACGAUCCAUAGCUGGGCUGAGAGGAUGACCAGCCACACUGGGACUGAGACACGGCCCAGACUCCUACGGGAGGCAGCAGUAGGGAAUCUUGCGCAAUGGGCGAAAGCCUGACGCAGCCAUGCCGCGUGUAUGAUGAAGGACUUAGGAUUGUAAAAUACUUUCACCGGGGAAGAUAAUGACGGUACCCGGAGAAGAAGCCCCGGCUAACUUCGUGCCAGCCGCCGCGGUAA